UUUUUUUUCUUCUUCUUAUUCUUCUUGUUCACUAACAUAUGAUUACAUGCAGACAGACUACAUGGAAAGAGAACUACCCCAGAUAGUCACCUUAAUGUUAAAAGCGUGCGUAUUGCUUGCCUUGGUGCCAUUUAUUUGCAAUAGUCAAGCCAAUUCAGAACAACUAGAUAAACCUGUUUCAAGAGAAAUUGCUAACAAGGAAAAUCCAGGUUUUAUAAGCAUUGACUGUGGAUCAAUAAUAGAUUACUUGCAAGAGGAUACCGGAAUUUGGUAUAAGACAGACAAAGGGUUUGUGGAAACAGGAGAGAAUCAUGUGACUUCAUCCAUUAUCAACUUAAACUAUCUUUAUUUUGGGAAACAAUUAACCACAUUGAGAUGUUUCCCAGAAGGAGAUAGAAACUGCUAUACAUUGAAACCUAAAGAGGGCAAAAACAAAAAGUAUAUGAUUCGUGCUUUUUUCUCAUAUGGAAACUAUGACGGAAAAAAUCAAACACAAUCUUUUGAACUGUAUCUUGGAGUUAAUCUUUGGAAAAAAAUCAAUUUCACUAAUACUGAUCAUUACACUUUUACGGAGAUCAUUCACACUCCUUCAACUGACACUAUAAAUGUGUGCCUUGUAAAGACUGGACCAAUAAUCCCUUGCAUUUCCUCAUUGGAAUUGAGACUUUUGAACAAUUCAAUUUAUCAGAAUCAUCAGAUGAUCUCCACCAAUGAUCCAGAACCACUGUUGGAAUCACAAGCUAGGAUUGAUGUUGGCCCGUCACCCUGUUUAGCCAAACACUCUAGGUAUAAAGAUGAUGUGUAUGAUCGGAUAUGGAUUUGCGACCAACACUUGUACAAAAAUAACAGUUGGUAUCCGUUUGGUUUGGAAGAGUCAAUAAAUAUGGAUACUGCAACAAAUAGUGAUGCUUAUAAAUUACCGGCCAAAGUAUUGAGGAAUGUAGCCCAGUCAAAAAAUGUUUCACGGCCCUUGGGAUUUAUCUACCAAUAUACAUAUACUCCUCUAGACUUUAAUUAUGAUUAUUAUGUCUACUUUCACUUCAAUGAAAUUGCGAAAUUUUCAGAUGGGAAAAAAAGAAAAAUAAAUAUCACUGUUUCACGGCCCUUGGGAUUUAUCUACCAAUAUACAUAUAUUCCCGUGCUUUCACAACCUUUAGUUCUUGAUUACUUGAAACCUGUUACACUCAACUUCACAACUCAAGGUAAUGUUUGGUUUAACAUUAGCGCAACCUCGGAUUCGGAUGCUCCUCCUAUACUCAAUGCCUUCGAGAUCUAUAAGCUCAUGACUCAACUUGAUUCACCAACAUCCCCUCAAGAUGUUGGUGCAAUAAUGGAUAUCAAAAGCUCCUAUCAAGUCUAUAAAUUGAAUUGGCAAGGAGACCCGUGUCUUCCUACGCAAUAUAGAUGGGAAGGUCUUGUUUGUAAGGGUGACACCAUUCCAAGGAUCACAUCUUUGAACCUGAGCUCAAGCAAACUAACUGGGAAGAUAAACAUUUCAUUCUCAUAUCUUACAGAACUAGAAUUUCUGGAUUUGUCGUACAAUGAAUUGGAAGGACCUUUGCCAGAAUUUCUAGCACAUUUGCCAAAUUUAAAAGUUCUCAAUCUAACGGGAAACAAGCUUUCUAGUCCAAUUCCUAAGGAUCUCAAGCAAAAGGCAGACAAUAAAACGUUGGAAUUAAGUGUGGCUGGAAAUCCUGAUCUUUGUAUGACGGGUUCAUGCAAAAAGAAGAACAUUGUUGUACCACUUGUUGCAUCAUUUUCAGCAUUAUUUCUAAUCAUCUUGAUCAUCUCUCUUGGAUUUCGCAUAUUCAAAAGACAAAAAGCUUUAUAUAUUCAUGUAGUUCCACCUGCACGUUUUAAUUCUAAGAAGAGGGGUUCCCUAAAAUCAAAACAUCACGCAUUCAGUUACAAUGAAAUUCUCAAUAUUACUGAUAACUUCAAAACUAUAAUUGGAGAAGGAGGAUUUGGAAAAGUUUACAUUGGCAUUUUACAAGAUCACACUCAAGUAGCUGUAAAAAUGCUUUCAACUUCAUCGAAGCAAGGUUAUAAGGAAUUUCAAUCAGAGGUGCAACUUUUAAUGAUUGUUCAUCAUAGGAAUUUGGUCUCUCUCAUUGGAUAUUGUGAUGAAGGUGAAAUCAAAGCACUGAUUUAUGAGUACAUGACGAAUGGAAAUCUCCAACAAUAUUUAUUAGUGGAAAAUUCAAAUAUCAUAAAUUGGACUAAGAGACUUAAAAUUGCAGUUGAUGCAGCACAUGGAUUGGAUUAUCUGCAUAAUGGGUGCAAACCACCUAUUAUUCAUAGAGAUUUGAAGUCUUCCAACAUAUUACUCGAUGAGAACUUACAUGCCAAGAUUGCUGAUUUUGGUCUAAGUAGAGCUUUUGGUAAUGAUAAUGAUUCUCAUAUAUCCACGCGCCCUGCUGGUACAUUUGGUUACGUUGAUCCACAAUUUCAAAGAACAGGAAACACAAAUAAGAAAAAUGAUAUCUACAGCUUUGGAAUUAUUCUAUUUGAGCUGAUCACUGGCAAGAAAGCACUCAUAAAAGCACCUGAUGAAACCAUUCACAUACUUCAAUGGGUUAUUCCAUUAAUAAAAGGUGGAGAUAUUCAAAACAUUAUUGAUGCGAGGUUACAAGGUGAAUUCAACAUCAAUUCUGCAUGGAAAGUUGUUGAGGUAGCCAUGUCAUGCAUUUCACAAAUUGCAGCUGAAAGGCCAGACAUAAACCAAAUAUUGGUAGAGCUAAAGGAAUGUCUGUCUUUGGAGAUAGUUCAGAGAAAUAGUGGAAGUGCAAGAGAUAUAAUUGAAUUGACGACAUUAUCUACUGGACCAGAAAUCACUCCGUCAGCUAGGUAACCACUGCAUGAUUAAUUAUCUCUUCGUGUGACCUCGAACGUCCAAGUAUAUUACUCUUAAUCUAUAUGAUAUGUAAUAUAACAAUUUUUAUUUUGGAAGUUUGCCGGGAACAAAAAGAGUUGUGUGACAACUACUAUGCUAAAUGCAUCACACAGUGGAAGAGGCACAACAAAUACCUUAUCUUGAGAACUUUUCGCUCCAACGUAUGAUCCAUGUUUCAAAAAAUGGUGUAUAGAGUUUAGAGGGAGAGCUCCCUGAAUCCGCAACCAAGCUGCUACUCCAUGCCAUAUACUAUAAUAAAAAGAGCACUAAAAAAAUAUGUUUCAAAGACAUUGAAAGAGAAAACGCAUGAAGUCCCUCUAACCGUAUCAACCACUCCAAGAGUAGCUAGAGCAGAUCUAGUGUGCAACAUGUCAUGAAAAAUUAUCUAUUCAAUUAAAACAGGGACCUUUGAUGGAACCUCACAACACUAAACACCUGUAAAAAUCUUGCUCAUAUCUCGAUUAAUGACUGUUGAAUAUUUUGCAUGAA
Medicago truncatula (barrel medic) is the source of this 3382-nucleotide RNA transcript. It is a transcript of the gene named probable LRR receptor-like serine/threonine-protein kinase At1g05700, with no coding region annotated. The record is from RefSeq and is a predicted model, not a curated record. NCBI's taxonomy places the organism in Eukaryota, Viridiplantae, Streptophyta, Magnoliopsida, Fabales, Fabaceae. The transcript is spliced from 14 exons.